GCGCCCAUAGUUCAAUGGAUAGAACACUAGCCUUCUAAGCUAGAUAUGUAGGUUCGAUCCCUACUGGGCGUA
This 72-nucleotide transfer RNA is filed under the name bacterium. RNAcentral describes it as "tRNA-Arg". It matches the Rfam family "tRNA". Rfam says of the family: Transfer RNA (tRNA) molecules are approximately 80 nucleotides in length. Their secondary structure includes four short double-helical elements and three loops (D, anti-codon, and T loops). The record is from RNAcentral.